RNAcentral lists this ribosomal RNA (497 nucleotides) under uncultured bacterium. RNAcentral's name for it is "partial 16S ribosomal RNA". It matches the Rfam family "Bacterial small subunit ribosomal RNA", at positions 28 to 507 of the family's 1533-position model. The record is from RNAcentral.
GAUGAACGCUGGCGGCGUGCCUAAUACAUGCAAGUCGAGCGAACAGACGAGGAGCUUGCUCCUCUGCCGUUAGCGGCGGACGGGUGAGUAACACGUGGAUAACCUACUUAUAAGACUGGGAUAACUUCGGGAAACCGGAGAUAAUACCGGAUAAUAUAUUGAACCGCAUGGUUCAAUAGUGAAAGACGGUUUUGCUGUCACUUAUAGAUGGAUCCGCGCCGCAUUAGCUAGUUGGUAAGGUAACGGCUUACCAAGGCAACGAUGCGUAGCCGACCUGAGAGGGUGAUCGGCCACACUGGAACUGAGACACGGUCCAGACUCCUACGGGAGGCAGCAGUAGGGAAUCUUCCGCAAUGGGCGAAAGCCUGACGGAGCAACGCCGCGUGAGUGAUGAAGGUCUUCGGAUCGUAAAACUCUGUUAUUAGGGAAGAACAAAUGUAGAAGUAACUAUGCACGUCUUGACGGUACCUAAUCAGAAAGCCACGGCUAACUACGUG